Molecule: ribosomal RNA, 253 nt
Filed under: uncultured bacterium
Lineage: Bacteria
Description: partial 16S ribosomal RNA
Rfam family: Bacterial small subunit ribosomal RNA
Source: RNAcentral
UACGUAGGGGGCAAGCGUUAUCCGGAUUUACUGGGUGUAAAGGGAGUGUAGACGGCUGUGCAAGUCUGGAGUGAAAGGCAUGGGCUCAACCUGUGGAUUGCUUUGGAAACUGUGCGGCUUGAGUGUCGGAGAGGCAAGUGGAAUUCCUAGUGUAGCGGUGAAAUGCGUAGAUAUUAGGAGGAACACCAGUGGCGAAGGCGGCUUGCUGGACGAUGACUGACGUUGAGGCUCGAAAGCGUGGGGAGCAAACAGG